AUUGAACGCUGGCGGCAGGCCUAACACAUGCAAGUCGAGCGAGUGGCGGACGGGUGAGUAAUGUAUGGGAAACUGCCUGAUGGAGGGGGAUAACUACUGGAAACGGUGGCUAAUACCGCAUACCAUCCGAUGUACCCAGAUGGGAUUAGCUAGUUGGUGGGGUAACGGCUCACCAAGGCGACGAUCCCUAGCUGGUCUGAGAGGAUGACCAGCCAAACUGGGACUGAGACACGGCCCAGACUCCUACGGGAGGCAGCAGUGGGGAAUAUUGCACAAUGGGCGCAAGCCUGAUGCAGCCAUGCCGCGUGUAUGAAGAAGGCCUUAGGGUUGUAAAGUACUUUCAGCGGGGAGGCGUUACCCGCAGAAGAAGCACCGGCUAACUCCGUGCCAGCAGCCGCGGUAAUAC
Molecule: ribosomal RNA, 406 nt
Filed under: uncultured bacterium
Lineage: Bacteria
Description: partial 16S ribosomal RNA
Rfam family: Bacterial small subunit ribosomal RNA
Source: RNAcentral